Nilaparvata lugens (brown planthopper) is the source of this 4085-nucleotide long non-coding RNA. RefSeq lists it as uncharacterized. NCBI's taxonomy places the organism in Eukaryota, Metazoa, Arthropoda, Insecta, Hemiptera, Delphacidae. The record is from RefSeq and is a predicted model, not a curated record. The transcript is spliced from 3 exons.
GUUUUCAGGUUGAAGGAGUGAUUGAUAAAAGGGGUAUCCAGCCUUACACCUCCUCCCCUCCUUACCACUGUGGAACGAAGCUCCAGACUAGUUCUUAUCAGUGAGCAGAGUGAGAAGGAGAGUGGAGAGGAGAGGAGAACAGCACAGCGAGCGAAGUGAGUUCUCACUGGUUGCAGACCUCUGGACUGUCAUUUGUCAGCUGACUGGGUUGCUGUUGCAUGAGUGAGAGAAGGAGAGACUGAAAGAAGGAGCGGAUACUGCAUCAUAAGGACAUGGAGGAGAGACAGAGAGUGACUGGCAACACUUCAGGAGAAGAAUGAUGGCCUGCUCAAACGGAACAGCGGGAAGAAGAAAGAAGAAGCUGCAAAGAAGAACAUCUAAAGAAGAUUUAUAACUGAAUUAUGGGACUCUAGUGUGUAAUUGGAAGUGAAAAUUACAAACUGUGACAUUGCUAUCCAAAAGUGCGAAAUAGUGAAAAGUCAUUCUCGAAGGACAUUGAAUUUAUUGAAAUUUUGUUUGUGAUGUUGAAAUUGUGCAUGUUUUGCUGUAAAUAAUAAAUUCUUAUGGGGUGGGGUGUCCUGUUUGAGGUAUUUUCAGGUUGAAAAGAACAAUUCAGUGAUAAGUGAUGUGUGAUCAGUGGACUCGAAUUUACUUUCAUUCACAAAGGACUUGAUUUGAUUUAUAUUUUGUUUGUGAUGUUGUUGAUAUUGUGCAUGUUUUGCUGUAAAUAAUAAAUGCCUAUGGGGUGGGUGUCCUAGUGGGGUAUUUUCAGGCAUCGCGGAGGCAGCUGGACGGACGGACCACACAGAACUUCAAUCAAGGUAAAAUUCAGCUCUCGACCAAAUUUUAACAGUUCAAUCAAGGUUUUUUUCAUAUUUUCAUCUAACCGUUUAAUUUUGAAUUCAUUUGUUUAUAAAUCUGAAUAGUUUCUUCCAAGUUCUGUGAAUUACUUAUAUCUUGAAAUUAGAAUUCAAUAAUCAAUUCUUACACUUGUGAACUUCAACUUUUGUAACUUGUGAAUGAAUCUAACGAAACAUCAAUGAUUGUCUCAUUAAUGUUUGUUGGCUUUAAUUACAUUUUUCAAUCUAUUCAAAUUCAAAUAUAUGAUUCUAAAUUUGAAUCUUCAGCAGUAUUUUCUGUAAUAUUUAUGUCUUGUUGAACUGUUCAGUUUGGUCGUGGGCGACUUGUGUGGAAUUGGUAUUGUAUGUCUGGACCAUCACCCCCUUUGUUUUUUUUCAGGUUAUAUGCUUUGAAUUCUCUGUUUUUUAUUCUCAGUUUCUUUGAAGGAGAACCUUCAGUUAGAAUUCAAUAGUGGAUUAUCCUUCGAUAAGGGUUUUUUGUUUUUUUCAGUUGUUUCUUUUUUAUUUUCAAGUACUUACCCCUGCUCCUCAUUUUUUUCAGUUAUUUAUUUUUUGUUGCUUUGGAGGCGAACCUUCAGUUCAAAUUCAAAUAUCGAAGUAUAUGUCGAUAAGGGAUGUUUUGUUUAGUUGUUUUUGAUUUUUAAAAACUUUCCUUUGUCCCCGAUUUAUUUUAGUUUGGGAAUUUUCUUCAGUUGUUCCUUUUCAUUUAUUGGAAACUAUUCUCAUCUACUUAGAAUUCCUUAUAUAUUAUUUUAAUAGAUAAAUUUCAAUUAAAUUGUAAAUUUCUGGGGUGCUGCCACACUGUUUGCUUUUUUUCAGGAGGAAAUCGUAGUCAUCAUUUAUUUAUUGUGUUUGUCUUUGUUGUGUGUUGUUGCAUCUCUCAAAAUAUUGUUAGUUAACUAUUUUCAAUUAUUUCUAUUGUAAUAAAGUUUAUACAUUGUAAAGUGUAAUUUCAUGUACUCCCUUCCUUCUCAUUGCACCAUCCAUUCAUAUUUCUAACUUCAAUUCACUUUAUUUCCUCUUUCUUUUCUCUCAAUUUCAUUUCCAACUUACUUCUUGGCUAACCCACCUCAACCUGUAGUAGGUCCACUCAUCUCUCAUCAUUAUUCAUUCUAUUAUCACCCACGCACAAGCCUAGAGCUCAUGUGGGCAUUAUCCAUCAUAUAAUUCAUUUCUUUCAAAAACUAUCAUUAUCAAUUCCUUAAUUGCUUUACUAUUUCUGAUCACCUUUCUUCUAAAUUAAUAUUUCCCUCAAUUUAUAAAUUCAUUACUCUCAAAUUGUAAACCCCUAAAUAUAAAUUAAUAUAAAAAUAAAGUUCCCAAUAUUCAGUGUAAUCUGAAUCUUUGACUAUUUGAAAAGCCGUGUCUUCUAAGAAUAAUUUUAAUCUCACUUAAUAAUAAUGAUAAUUAAAAUUUUCACUUACUUAAAGGCCACUCAAUAUAAUAAUCCCACCUUGAAGCUUUAGGUCCACUUACCUAUAAUCAUCAUUCUUCCUAUUUUACCCACACACAAGCCAGUCACUUAUGUGGGAUUCAUAUUCUGCUUAAAAAUCUAUCUUAAAAUCAUUCUAAAUCUAAAUUUCAAUUCUCUUUCAAUAAUGUUAAUUUACUCCCAUUGUAAUGUUAAUUUACUCCCAUUGUAGUGAUCACUGAAAUCAAUCAUUAGUUUCUUUACCUUAUUUCACCAUUCACCAAUAUUCUCAAGUUUAUACCUCUAGUUACCGUACUGCUUUGUCGACUCCUCAUCUCUCAUUAUCCAUCAUUCUGUCUCUCAUUCUAUUAUUGUUUGUCUCACCACCAUUACUUAAUUUAACUUGUCUCCCCCCCCCCACCUUACUUAGUAAUCCUUAGGCUGGACACAAACCGAUUAGUCAAGACAAGACUAAGUCACGUUUAGUCCUUAGACCAGUUAUAGAAUAUAUUAUAGUCUAUAACUGGUCUACGGUUUAGUCACAAUACUUCACAUAGUUGCUUAUGAAGACAUGACUAAUUGCAAUGACUAAUCAGUGUGAGUUGCGUCAUAAGCAACUAUGUGAAGUAUUGUGACUAAACGUGACUAGUCUUGUAGGCCAGUUAUAGAACAUAUUAUAGUCUAUAACUGGUCUACGGUUUAGUCACAAUACUUCACAUGGUAGCUUAUUGAGUCAUUGCAAUGACUAAUCAUUGUGAGUUGCGUCAUAAGCAACUAUGUGAAGUAUUGUGACUAAACGUGACUAGUCUUGUAGGCCAGUUAUAGAAUAUAAUAUAGUCUAUAACUGAUCUAAGGUUUAGUCACAAUACUUCACAUAGUUGCUUAUGGAGUCAUGUCUAAUUGCAAUGACUAAUCGAUGUGUGUAGCUUCAUAAGCAACUAUGAGAAGUAUUGUGUCUAAACGUGACUAGUCUUGUCUUGACUAAUCGGUGUGUGACCAGCCUUACUGACCCUAUUAUUCCUCGCAUUCCUUAGUCACUUCACUUGCCUCCCUCCCCCCCCCCCUUUGCCAUCUACAUAAAAUUAUUCCUCCCUUCCUGUCAUCUGAAUGGAUUUAUUUCAGUUGUAGUUAACUUUUUCUUUUCUCAUAUUGUUAUCUCACUUCUUGUGCACUUAUGCGUUCAAGGGGUUCUUAAUUGAAAUAAAGGGAGUUAAUGCUAAUUGAAAUAAAGGAAGUUAAUGAUAAUUGAAAUAAAGGGAGUUAAUGAUAAUUGAAAUAAAGGGAGUUAAUGAUCAAUUAUUGUUCCUAGUAUUAGCGAUAUUGUGACAGAUGCAACAGCACUAGUGUGGUAGCACUCUUAGCUUAUAUUAUAUUGUCCCCCCACCCACUCUUAUGGUCUAGAACAUGCACUUACCAAUACCAUUGAUUAUUCCUCUUCUGGAGGGGCAUCACCCUCUUCUAUUCGUAUAGAAGUGAGCAUUGUCCCUUGAGAAGGGGAACCACUCUUUUUUGCCCCCUCAUGGGAACUUUCCCUCUCCCUUCCGGGGGGAGGGAAAGCCCCCUUGUGGGAUUUGUCCCUCUCCCUUCUGGGGAGGGUAAACUGUCACCUGGCUCUGAGUGGUCCAGUGAAGGCUCAAUGCGCCCUUUGGCGUGGGUGGGACCACUCACUACAUUGGGGGGGGCCAGGACCACAUGGAGCCGGGUGCCAGUAUUGGACGUUGAGGUUAGUGCCCGGUUUUUUUGUGGGCCUAUCCAACAGUGAACGUUUCACUGUAAACCUGAAUCUAGGACAAGAAGGGAAAAUAAAAAAAAAA